Gasterosteus aculeatus aculeatus (three-spined stickleback) is the source of this 1729-nucleotide long non-coding RNA. Lineage: Eukaryota; Metazoa; Chordata; Actinopteri; Perciformes; Gasterosteidae. The record is from Ensembl.
AAUCAGACCCGACCCACCGACUACGAUCUCAGCAGACUCUCAUCAGCGCGCUGAGCCCACCGGCGCCACUUCAAUCACAGCCUGCGAGGCCGGCAGCCGGCUGGCUACUAAAAGUUCCACACCAGUUCAACUCUAAGAAAAUUCGAUUCAACUAUUUGAAUUCUUCUCCCCUAACCGGGUCCGAAUAUGUACUGAACGUGGUUGUUUCAGCCUCAUGUGCUUCAACAGACGUCAUUUGAGGGUAGGAUCUCUGGCUGUCGCCAUCUUGGUUGGACACGAUGUCACGUGACCAACAGGUGCAUCCAAAUGGUCGGGUGGAGCGGAGAAGCCGAGCUGGUUGGUUACGUCAUCGUUUGAGAAUGACCAAGCAGAGAAGAAGAAACCGGGACCCACCGAGGAGGGAUUUUUUGUUUCUUGGUCACUAGAAAAAGUCUUUUUGAUCCCAGACUUUUUGAUAUCUACAACCUCACUUAUAUUAAUAAGUACAUUAAUAACUGACGGAUUAUUUGUCAGAAAAACUGUACAAUCGGCCUUCUCGCACAUCUUCCACCAGAUGUCAGCGUAGACCCACAACAUGUUAGAUCCCAUCUCGGCUCAUUUCACCCCAAAGAAAGAAUACGCACAGAGUUUUAACACUUCUUACACCAUUUUUCUAAAUUUGUCGGCACUGCCUCCUCGCAUAAAGUAAUUUCAUAGUUCAACUUUAACAACUUUAACAUCCUUUGUCCUCAUUCACUUAUGUAUGUUGAUUCUUUUUGUCUUGUCACCGCCUCCGGAGGUGCUGAUGAAUGAGUUGUCCUGUUCCCUUGACUGAAGUUUCCUGCAGCAUUGACUAACUAAUGACACAUCAGUGAAGGGCAAAGCGUUUUAUUUUCUUGUCAGGCAUUUUAAUCGGAUUUGAAGGUUAACUUUUAGUGCGGCCUGCACGCUUUCAUCCCCUCUUCAUCACGACGCAGCUAUGGGAACGCUGGAACGGGAGGAAGUGCACGUUUUAUUUCUUGACGGAAGCUUUAUGGCUCAUCCCGGGCCGGUUAGUGUCCCUGGGACGCAGGUGGUAGUGAUCCUCAUCAGUAUUUAAGGGACAGGUCCGUCUCUCCCUGAGGCUUGUUUCUGCAACACCUCGCCGGCUUUCAUUUUGUCUGAUAAAAGGUGCAUCAAAUCCCACCAGUGUCUGAAGGCUGUGUCUUCACUUGAUUUAUUUGUGGUGUUUUCAGGUUCAAGAGAACACGCAACUCUGCUUGUAUUCCAAGUGCAUUGAUGAAGAAGACCAUCGUACAGCAGCUGUUCGCGGCUCGCACAUCUUCACAUUAGAACCAACUACAGUCGAGCUGGACGCGCGUCUUAUGAUUAUUGAACGGCAGCACUGAUUACGAGUGCAGAGCCAACGCACCAGCUUCCUGUUAUGGGGGAUCAUUCGUGCUCCUUUGAGUCGUGAACACACUUGAAGAAAACCUGGUUUGACCUUUUUAAUCUUCUGACUAAACAGGAGCUGCUUCCAAGGGUGUUCAAAGUCUCAACAGCUCCUUUGUCAGCUGAUUUGAAAGAAAAAAACGUGUUUAUUUACAGCAUGAAGUACACGAGGAGAGCUAAUAUUACGACGCACACCUCUGCUGAGGCUUUGAUUUAGGACUUUAAGGCAAUUUGUCUGACACUUUCAGAUGUUCAUAGAAGCUUGUUUUUAGGCAACCUUAAGAUUUUGUGUAUAAUCUUCUCAUGUAGUUAGAUUAUU